Molecule: ribosomal RNA, 226 nt
Filed under: uncultured bacterium
Lineage: Bacteria
Description: partial 16S ribosomal RNA
Rfam family: Bacterial small subunit ribosomal RNA
Source: RNAcentral
GCGUUGUCCGGAAUUAUUGGGCGUAAAGAGCUCGUAGGUGGUCUGUUGCGUCGGCUGUGAAACCCCGAGGCUCAACCUCGGGUCUGCAGCCGAUACGGGCAGACUAGAGUUCGGCAGGGGAGACUGGAAUUCCUGGUGUAGCGGUGAAAUGCGCAGAUAUCAGGAGGAACACCGGUGGCGAAGGCGGGUCUCUGGGCCGAUACUGACACUGAGGAGCGAAAGCGUG